RNAcentral lists this transfer RNA (74 nucleotides) under Rhynchosporium agropyri. It matches the Rfam family "tRNA". Rfam says of the family: Transfer RNA (tRNA) molecules are approximately 80 nucleotides in length. Their secondary structure includes four short double-helical elements and three loops (D, anti-codon, and T loops). The record is from RNAcentral. Lineage: Eukaryota; Fungi; Ascomycota; Leotiomycetes; Helotiales; Ploettnerulaceae. RNAcentral also lists the same sequence under 1 other name.
GGUCGGGUGGUGUAGUUGGUUAUCACAUCUCGUUAACACCGAGAAGGUCCUGGGAUCGAACCCCAGCUUGAUCA